GAUGAAGAACGUAGCAAAAUGCGAUAAGUAAUGUGAAUUGCAGAAUUCAGUGAAUCAUCGAAUCUUUGAACGCACAUUGCGCCCGCCAGUAUUCUGGCGGGCAUGCCUGUUCGAGCGUCAUUUCAACCCUCAAGCCCUCGGGUUUGGUGUUGGGGAUCGGCGAGCCUUUCUGGCAAGCCGGCCCCGAAAUCUAGUGGCGGUCUCGCUGCAGCCUGCAUUGCGUAGUAGUAAAACCCUCGCAACUGGAACGCGGCGCGGCCAAGCCGUUAAACCCCCAACUUCUGAAUGUUGACCUCGGAUCAGGUAGGAAUACCCGCUGAACUUAAGCAUAUCAAUAAGCGGAGGA
This 346-nucleotide unclassified non-coding RNA is filed under the name soil metagenome. RNAcentral's name for it is "partial contains 5.8S ribosomal RNA, internal transcribed spacer 2, and large subunit ribosomal RNA". The stretch from base 1 to 120 matches the Rfam family "5.8S ribosomal RNA", at positions 35 to 154 of the family's 154-position model. The record is from RNAcentral.